AAUGAACGCUGGCGGCGUGCUUAACACAUGCAAGUCGAACGGAAUCCAAGGAGCUUGCUCUGGAAGAUUUAGUGGCGAACGGGUGAGUAUCACGUGAGCAACCUGCCCCGAAGACUGGGAUAACACCGGGAAACCGGUGCUAAUACCGGAUGUCUUCUUUUUAUCGCAUGAUGAGGAGAGGAAAUGUUUUUUCGCUUCGGGAGGGGCUCGCGGUCCGUCAGCUUGUUGGCGGGGUAACGGCCCACCAAGGCUACGACGGAUAGCUGGUCUGAGAGGACGAUCAGCCACACUGGAACUGAGACACGGGUCCAGACUCCUACGGGAGGCAGCAGUGGGGAAUCUUGCGCAAUGGGCGAAAGCCUGACGCAGCAACGCCGCGUGAGGGACGAAGGCUUUCUGAGUUGUAAACCUCUUUCGACAGGAACGAUUGUGACGGUACCUGUAGAAGAAGCACCGGCCAACUAUGUGCCAGCCGCCGCAGUAAG
Molecule: ribosomal RNA, 485 nt
Filed under: uncultured bacterium
Lineage: Bacteria
Description: bacterial SSU rRNA
Rfam family: Bacterial small subunit ribosomal RNA
Source: RNAcentral